Molecule: microRNA precursor, 61 nt
Organism: Gadus morhua (Atlantic cod)
Lineage: Eukaryota; Metazoa; Chordata; Actinopteri; Gadiformes; Gadidae
Source: Ensembl
CGGGGGGCCUAUCAUGAGCUGCAGUUUUUAUUUUAUACUGGCCCAUGAUAGGCCCACAGAU